Molecule: ribosomal RNA, 444 nt
Filed under: Streptococcus mitis
Lineage: Bacteria; Bacillati; Bacillota; Bacilli; Lactobacillales; Streptococcaceae
Description: bacterial SSU rRNA
Rfam family: Bacterial small subunit ribosomal RNA
Source: RNAcentral
GACGAACGCUGGCGGCGUGCCUAAUACAUGCAAGUAGAACGCUGAAGGAGGAGCUUGCUUCUCUGGAUGAGUUGCGAACGGGUGAGUAACGCGUAGGUAACCUGCCUGGUAGCGGGGGAUAACUAUUGGAAACGAUAGCUAAUACCGCAUAAUAGCAGUUAUUGCAUGAUAACUGUUUGAAAGGUGCAAUUGCAUCACUACCAGAUGGACCUGCGUUGUAUUAGCUAGUUGGUGAGGUAACGGCUCACCAAGGCGACGAUACAUAGCCGACCUGAGAGGGUGAUCGGCCACACUGGGACUGAGACACGGCCCAGACUCCUACGGGAGGCAGCAGUAGGGAAUCUUCGGCAAUGGACGGAAGUCUGACCGAGCAACGCCGCGUGAGUGAAGAAGGUUUUCGGAUCGUAAAGCUCUGUUGUAAGAGAAGAACGAUGUGUGAGAGUG